UACGGAGGGGGUUAGCGUUGUUCGGAAUGACUGGGCGUAAAGCGCGCGUAGGCGGAUCAGGAAGUUGGGGGUGAAAUCCCGGGGCUCAACCCCGGAAUGGCCUUCAAAACUCCUGGUCUUGAGUUCGAGAGAGGUGAGUGGAAUUCCGAGUGUAGAGGUGAAAUUCGUAGAUAUUCGGAGGAACACCAGUGGCGAAGGCGGCUCACUGGCUCGACACUGACGCUGAGGUGCGAAAGCCAGGGGAGCGAACGGG
Molecule: ribosomal RNA, 253 nt
Filed under: uncultured bacterium
Lineage: Bacteria
Description: partial 16S ribosomal RNA
Rfam family: Bacterial small subunit ribosomal RNA
Source: RNAcentral